UACGGGGGGAGCAAGCGUUGUUCGGAUUUACUGGGCGUAAAGGGCGCGUAGGCGGCCACCGCAAGUCAAUUGUGAAAUCUCCGGGCUUAACUCGGAAAGGUCAACUGAUACUGCGGGGCUAGAGUGCGGAAGGGGCAACUGGAAUUCCCGGUGUAGCGGUGAAAUGCGCAGAUAUCGGGAAGAACACCCGUGGCGAAGGCGGCUCUCUGGGACGGUACUGGCGCUGAGACGCGAAAGCGUGGGGAGCGAACAGG
RNAcentral lists this ribosomal RNA (254 nucleotides) under uncultured bacterium. RNAcentral describes it as "partial 16S ribosomal RNA". It matches the Rfam family "Bacterial small subunit ribosomal RNA", at positions 524 to 776 of the family's 1533-position model. The record is from RNAcentral.